AUUGAACGCUGGCGGCGUGCCUAACACAUGCAAGUCGAGCGGUAACAGGUGUAGCAAUACAUGCUGACGAGCGGCGAACGGGUGAGUAAUGCUUCGGAAUCUACCCAAUGGUGGGAAUAACCAGCCGAAAGGUUGGCUAAUACCGCAUACGUCCUACGGGAGAAAGACAGGGGAUCGUAAGACCUUGCGCCAAUGGAUGAGCCGAAGUC
RNAcentral lists this ribosomal RNA (209 nucleotides) under uncultured bacterium. RNAcentral describes it as "partial 16S ribosomal RNA". It matches the Rfam family "Bacterial small subunit ribosomal RNA", at positions 30 to 237 of the family's 1533-position model. The record is from RNAcentral.